CCUACGGGAGGCAGCAGUGAGGAAUAUUGGUCAAUGGCCGGAAGUCUGAACCAGCCAAGCCGCGUGAAGGACGAAGGUGCCAAGCAUUGUAAACUUCUUUUGUCAAGGGACAAAAUCAGGCUCGAGAGCCUGACCGAGGGUACUUUACGAAAAAGCAUCGGCUAACUCCGUGCCAGCAGCCGCGGUAAUACGGAGGAUGCGAGCGUUAUCCGGAUUUAUGGGGUUUAAAGGGUGCGUGGGGGGGCUGUUAAGUCAGCGGGAAAAGCCCGGGGCUCAACCCCGGCGAGCCGUUGAAACUGGCGGGCUUGAGAUGUCGAGAGGUAGGCGGAAUGCGCAGUGUAGCGGUGAAAUGCUUAGAUAUUGCGAAGAACUCCGAUUGCGAAGGCAGCAUACCGGAGGCGAUCUGACGCUGAGGUACGAAAGCGUGGGUAUCGAACAGGAUUAGAUACCCCAGUAGUC
This 459-nucleotide ribosomal RNA is filed under the name uncultured bacterium. RNAcentral's name for it is "partial 16S ribosomal RNA". It matches the Rfam family "Bacterial small subunit ribosomal RNA", at positions 338 to 795 of the family's 1533-position model. The record is from RNAcentral.